UGUCCAGCGGCUCCAGCUUCGCUCGGCUCAACGCUCAGAGAAACGAAGCAGCUCAAUAAAAAAAUUUGAUAUUAGUUUUUAUGGGUAUUUACACUCUGGUGAGGGGAGCUGAGUGCGGAAGCUCCAUUAAUCAGCCCCCAACCUCAGGUUUGCAUACUGAGUUUAU
Molecule: unclassified non-coding RNA, 166 nt
Organism: Microcebus murinus (gray mouse lemur)
Lineage: Eukaryota; Metazoa; Chordata; Mammalia; Primates; Cheirogaleidae
Source: Ensembl